GAGUGGCAGAGAUGUCCUCGCUCGCAAGAGUCGGUUCACAGGUGCUGCAUGGCUGUCGUCAGCUCGUGUCGUGAGAUGUUGGGUUAAGUCCCGCAACGAGCGCAACCCUUGCCUUUAGUUGCCAGCAUUUAGUUGGGCACUCUAGAGGGACUGCCGACGUUAAGUCGGAGGAAGGUGGGGAUGACGUCAAGUCCUCAUGGCCCUUAUGUCCGGGGCUACACACGUGCUACAAUGGUGGUCACAGAGGGAAGCCAAGUCGCAAGACGGAGCAAAUCCCAAAAAAGCCAUCUAAGUUCAGAUUGCAGUCUGAAACUCGACUGCAUGAAGUUGGAAUCGCUAGUAAUCGCGGAUCAGAACGCCGCGGUGAAUACGUUCCCGGGCCUUGUACACACCGCCCGUCACACCAUGAAAGUCGGCUGUACCAGAAGUCGCUGCGCUAACCGUAAGGAGGCAGGCGCCCAAGGUAUGGUCGAUGAUUGGGGUG
Molecule: ribosomal RNA, 484 nt
Filed under: uncultured bacterium
Lineage: Bacteria
Description: bacterial SSU rRNA
Rfam family: Bacterial small subunit ribosomal RNA
Source: RNAcentral